GCCACGGUGGUCUAGCGGUUAGAACGCUGGCCUUGUAAUCCGGGGGGGUCUCGGGUUCGAUUCCCGGCGGUGCCC
Molecule: transfer RNA, 75 nt
Filed under: Zootermopsis nevadensis
Lineage: Eukaryota; Metazoa; Arthropoda; Insecta; Blattodea; Termopsidae
Rfam family: tRNA
About the family: Transfer RNA (tRNA) molecules are approximately 80 nucleotides in length.
Source: Rfam by way of RNAcentral